This 488-nucleotide long non-coding RNA is filed under the name Helianthus annuus (common sunflower). Its description in RNAcentral is "hypothetical non coding rna". Lineage: Eukaryota; Viridiplantae; Streptophyta; Magnoliopsida; Asterales; Asteraceae. The record is from RNAcentral.
CCUCUAUUGAAAACACAGAUUCCCUAUUUGACCUUCAAUUUUAAACCUAAAGUGGGAUCGCCACCGUUUUGGUUCCUCAUCUUUAAGGUUUUCAAUCGCCCCUUUAUUUUAAACCUAAAGGGGGAUUGCUGUCUUUCAAAUUCCUCAUUUUCCGCCAAAUACGUUAAUCAGUUUCCAAAACUUCCACACAUCUUCUCUUCAGACGUUACAGUUUUCAAAUUUUCCACACAUCAUCUCUUCACUUCUCUUCUACCACCUGCAACCCCAAGGUCAGUUAAUGGUUUCAUAUGUGGUGUGGUACAAAUGGAGAAUAAACAACCAGACGACGACAGAAAACCUAAUCGGUGGAACGAUCACCAGUAAGUAAUUUCUAUGUUUUUUCGUUUUCAUGUUGUUCAACAAAUUGUUAAUCGACCAAAUUAUUUAGAGGUGGCAAAACGGGUCAUUGCAAAAAAAAGAAUUUUUACUGCCCCGGGUCAAGAUCGGUA